UCUAGAACUGGAGAUUUGGGCUGAAUACUGAACAGUGUCUGGGCUGCAGGACAAAUUCCAACUUCUCCAUUGUUGCUAUAAUUUGAACUCGAAAACGGCAUUUUUGAAUCUUGGACUCUUCAUGAAAGUUUUAGGUCUGUCUUAGAUUUCCAUC
This is a non-coding RNA of Populus trichocarpa (black cottonwood), 154 nucleotides long. NCBI's taxonomy places the organism in Eukaryota, Viridiplantae, Streptophyta, Magnoliopsida, Malpighiales, Salicaceae. The record is from Rfam.